RNAcentral lists this ribosomal RNA (460 nucleotides) under uncultured bacterium. RNAcentral describes it as "partial 16S ribosomal RNA". It matches the Rfam family "Bacterial small subunit ribosomal RNA", at positions 338 to 795 of the family's 1533-position model. The record is from RNAcentral.
CCUACGGGAGGCAGCAGUGAGGAAUCUUUGUCAAUGGACGAGAGUCUGAACCAGCCAAGCCGCGUGAGGGAUUACUGCCCUUUGGAUUGUAAACUUCUGUUAUGAAGGAAUAAAUCGAGGCACUUGUACCUUUUUGCAUGUACUUUAUUAAUAAUGAUCGGCUAACUCCGUUCCAGCAGCCGCGGUAAUACUGAGUAUCCGAGCGUUGGCCGGAUUUAUUGGGUUUAAAUGUAGCGUAGAUGGGUUCUUAAGUCAGGUGUGAAAGGUUGGGGCUCAACCGUCAGAUUGCAAUUGAUACUGGCAGACUAGAGUAAAGUUGAGGUAGGCGGAAUUCGUGGUGUAGCAGUGAAAUGCUUAGAUAUCGAGAAGAACACGCAUUGCGAAGGCAGCUUCCUAAACUGUGACUGACAUUGAUGCACGAAAGUGUGGGUAUCAAAAGGGAUUAGAUACCCUAGUAGUC